GACGAACGCUGGCGGCGUGCUUAACACAUGCAAGUCGAACGGUGAAGCGCCUUCCUUUUUGGUGGGUGUGGAUGAGUGGCGAACGGGUGAGUAACACGUGAGUAACCUGCCCCCUUCUUCUGGAUAACCGCAUGAAAGUGUGGCUAAUACGGGAUAUUCUGGGUCUGUCGCAUGAUGGGUCUGGGAAAGAUAUUGUUUCGGUGGGGGAUGGGCUCGCGGCCUAUCAGCUUGUUGGUGGGGUGAUGGCCUACCAAGGCGGUGACGGGUAGCCGGCCUGAGAGGGUGGACGGUCACACUGGGACUUAGACACGGCCCAGACUCCUACGGGAGGCGGCAGUGGGGAAUAUUGCACAAUGGGCGCAAGCCUGAUGCAGCGACGCCGCGUGAGGGAUGGAGGCCUUCGGGUUGUGAACCUCUUUCGCCAGUGAAGCAGGCCUGCCUCGUUUGUGGGUGGGUUGACGGUAGCUGGAUAAGAAGCGCCGGCUAACUACGUG
RNAcentral lists this ribosomal RNA (494 nucleotides) under uncultured bacterium. RNAcentral describes it as "partial 16S ribosomal RNA". It matches the Rfam family "Bacterial small subunit ribosomal RNA", at positions 28 to 507 of the family's 1533-position model. The record is from RNAcentral.